This 355-nucleotide unclassified non-coding RNA is filed under the name Hevea brasiliensis (rubber tree). The record is from RNAcentral. Lineage: Eukaryota; Viridiplantae; Streptophyta; Magnoliopsida; Malpighiales; Euphorbiaceae.
AUUGAGGGAAGGGAGGGGUGAUGCUUACAUUGGGGAGUUCAUGGAAGGGAAACUGAGCUUACUUAGGGGUGAUGCUUGCUAGGCCUGCAUCUUUCUUCAUUAGCAACGUUUAUUUUUGCCGUUAGUUGCAUAUAAAAAGCUAAAGCAAUUGACUUUUGACUUGCAUUUAUUUUAUCCCUGCAUUCUUUCUUUGAUAAUCUCUUUUGCUUUGCAUCCAUUAUCUUAGCAUUAAACUUGAUGGAGACAUCUUGACUCGGAGAUUACCCGAAUAUUGCGUUGCCUUCGCCAUUAUUUUAUGUAUGCCCAAUCGUGGUCGGUUGCUUCUUUCUGAAUAAACUUUACAAAGAUAUUAGCG